GGCACAGUGGCUUAGUGGUUAGCAAGUUUGCCUCACACCUGCAGGGUUAGGGGUUUGACUCCUUUCUCUGCCC
Molecule: non-coding RNA, 73 nt
Organism: Pangasius djambal
Lineage: Eukaryota; Metazoa; Chordata; Actinopteri; Siluriformes; Pangasiidae
Source: the annotation of a GenBank genome assembly